GACGAACGCUGGCGGCGUGCCUAACACAUGCAAGUCGAGCGAACGGACGAGAUGCUUGCUUCUCUGAUGUUAGCGGCGGACGGGUGAUUCACACGUGGUUAACCUACCUCUCCGACUGGGAUAAUAUUGGGAAAUCGGAGCUACUACCGGAUAAUAUUUUGAACCGCAUGGUUCAAAAGUGAAAGAAGGUCUUUCUGUCACUUAUAGAUGGACACGCACUGCAUUAGCUAGUUGGUAAGGUAGCGGCUUACCAAGGCUACGAGGCAUAGCCGACCUGAGAGGGAGGUCGACCACACGGGCAGUGAGGCGCGGUCCACACUCCUACGGGGGGCAGCAGUAGGGAAUCUUCCGCAAGGAGCGAGUGCCUAACGGUGCAACGCCGCGGGAGGGAUGAUGGUCUUCUGAUCGUUGAGCGCUGUUAUUAGGAGAGAAGAUAUGUGUAAGUAACUGUGCACAUCUUGACGGUACCGGGUCAAAAAGCCACGGCUAACUACGUG
RNAcentral lists this ribosomal RNA (497 nucleotides) under uncultured bacterium. RNAcentral's name for it is "partial 16S ribosomal RNA". It matches the Rfam family "Bacterial small subunit ribosomal RNA", at positions 28 to 507 of the family's 1533-position model. The record is from RNAcentral.